Long non-coding RNA from Chinchilla lanigera (long-tailed chinchilla), 431 nucleotides. RefSeq lists it as uncharacterized. The record is from RefSeq and is a predicted model, not a curated record. The transcript has 4 exons. NCBI's taxonomy places the organism in Eukaryota, Metazoa, Chordata, Mammalia, Rodentia, Chinchillidae.
CUGGAACUUUUAGCCUCAACAAUUGCAAGAAAAUAAAUUUCUCUGAUAGACACAAGCCAUUCUGGUACCUUGUUAAAGUAGCCUGAGGUGACAAAGACACAGCAUGAACCAAAAAUCUCCAGAGUAUUGGAAGAAGUACCAUUGGAUUCAACAGAACCUGAGAUCCCACAAUCAAAACCACUUCCUGAAGAGAAGAAUCAUUCCUCAAAUGUCACAAGUCCUUAAGUUUGCAAACAAGCAUAGCUGUGAAGUGCUGACUCGUUAAAAAUGAAGGGGAGGAGGCAACAGUUGCCCAGUGUAACUGCUUCCACCUUUUGCUUUUCACCUGCAUUUCCGGUGAGGUCCUUCAGCCACUCAUCCUCUGUCUCUUCAGUGAGACAGAUAUCAGCCUCCCAGCUUUGCAAGUCUCCAUCUGAUAGCCCUGAGAAGAC